GUGAUCGUCAAUUUGGCUGUGAAUUCUGGUUUUUAAAUAUGAUAUCACAGCCACUUUGAUGAGUUAGG
This 68-nucleotide microRNA precursor is filed under the name Dendroctonus ponderosae (mountain pine beetle). RNAcentral's name for it is "mir-2 microRNA precursor family". It matches the Rfam family "mir-2 microRNA precursor family". Rfam says of the family: The miRNAs are transcribed as ~70nt precursors (modelled here) and subsequently processed by the Dicer enzyme to give a ~22nt product. In this case the mature sequence comes from the 3' arm of the precursor. Lineage: Eukaryota; Metazoa; Arthropoda; Insecta; Coleoptera; Curculionidae. The record is from Rfam by way of RNAcentral.